CAAAUUAGAGUUAAACUAGAACAGCUUCCAAUACAUUAGUUCCAUAUUGUUCAAUGCAGUUGUGUCAUACAUGGCUUCAAGCGCUGUGAUGUUAAUAGGUGGCGUUGGGCUCUCGCUAUGGCUUAUACGUGCGGUAGAAUACUUCGAGCUAGAUGCCCAAAGGAUAGAAUACUGUAGAUUCUGUAUCGUUUUGAUGGCGGUCGAUAUUUUUUUUCUAAUUGAGUUAUUUCAUCCUAUAGGAGAAAUUUUGUUGCUUGUUUUCAAAGUGGCGAUCAAUCGACCAGCUAUUUUGCAGCUUAUCUCGGCUCGUGCGUGCGAAAAUCUGUCCCAUUUGUUCCACCGAAAGAAGACAAUCCGGAAUCAGGUAUCCUGCGGGUCUGGAAGAGCGAAGUUCGGAACUAGAGAAAAUUCAUGGGUCUACAUUUUUUUGCUGGAGUAGAGGCGAAAAUCUCGCGGGACAAAAAGGUCGUACCACAGUCAAUAUACUGUUCCCAUUCAGUACCACUGCUAAAAGUGAACUGGUCAAAGUGACGCCGUAAAGAUCCAAAAAGCGAAGACUCACUACCACUUACCUGCUGACAGCCUGAGUGGCAAUAUUCGAGUACACGACAUCGGUGUUACAAUGCUCCUUGUUGCGAUAUAUUGCA
Varroa destructor (honeybee mite) is the source of this 647-nucleotide long non-coding RNA. RefSeq lists it as uncharacterized. The record is from RefSeq and is a predicted model, not a curated record. Lineage: Eukaryota; Metazoa; Arthropoda; Arachnida; Mesostigmata; Varroidae.